UGGGGGAUAUUGCACAAUGGGGGAAACCCUGAUGCAGCAACGCCGCGUGAAGGAAGAAGGUCUUCGGAUUGUAAACUUUUGUCUUGCGGGACGAAUAAUGACGGUACCGCAGGAGGAAGCCACGGCUAACUACGUGCCAGCAGCCGCGGUAAUACGUAGGUGGCGAGCGUUGUCCGGAAUUACUGGGUGUAAAGGGUGCGUAGGCGGAUUUGCAAGUCAGACGUGAAAACUAUCGGCUUAACCGGUAGCCUGCGUUUGAAACUGUGAGUCUUGAGUGGUGAAGAGGUAAGCGGAAUUCCUAGUGUAGCGGUGAAAUGCGUAGAUAUUAGGAGGAACACCAGUGGCGAAGGCGGCUUACUGGGCACUAACUGACGCUGAGGCACGAAAGCAUGGGGAGCAAACA
Molecule: ribosomal RNA, 403 nt
Filed under: uncultured prokaryote
Description: bacterial SSU rRNA
Rfam family: Bacterial small subunit ribosomal RNA
Source: RNAcentral